CAUGGUGGGUGUUGGAAAGUUUUUCGGUGGGGGAUGGGCUCGCGGCCUAUCAGCUUGUUGGUGGGGUAAUGGCCUACCAAGGCGUCGACGGGUAGCCGGCCUGAGAGGGCGACCGGCCACACUGGGACUGAGACACGGCCCAGACUCCUACGGGAGGCAGCAGUGGGGAAUAUUGCACAAUGGGCGAAAGCCUGAUGCAGCGACGCCACGUGAGGGAUGACGGCCUUCGGGUUGUAAACCUCUUUCAGCAGGGAAGAAGCGCAAGUGACGGUACCUGCAGAAGAAGCGCCGGCUAACUACGUGCCAGCAGCCGCGGUAAUACGUAGGGCGCAAGCGUUGUCCGGAAUUAUUGGGCGUAAAGAGCUCGUAGGCGGUCUGUCGCGUCUGGUGUGAAAUCCCAUGGCUCAACUGUGGGCUUGCAUCGGGUACGGGCAGACUAGAGUGCUGU
RNAcentral lists this ribosomal RNA (448 nucleotides) under bacterium. RNAcentral's name for it is "bacterial SSU rRNA". It matches the Rfam family "Bacterial small subunit ribosomal RNA", at positions 192 to 652 of the family's 1533-position model. The record is from RNAcentral.